Molecule: ribosomal RNA, 468 nt
Filed under: uncultured bacterium
Lineage: Bacteria
Description: partial 16S ribosomal RNA
Rfam family: Bacterial small subunit ribosomal RNA
Source: RNAcentral
GACGAACGCUGGCGGCGUGCUUAACACAUGCAAGUCGAACGGAAAGGCCCUGCUUUUGUGGGGUGCUCGAGUGGCGAACGGGUGAGUAACACGUGAGUAACCUGCCCUUGACUUUGUGAUAACUUCUGGAAACUGGGGCUAAUACCGGAUAUGAGCUCCUGCUGCAUGGUGGUGGUUGGAAAGUUUCGGCGGUUGGGGCUGGACUCGCGGCUUAUCAGCUUGUUGGUGGGGUAGUGGCUUACCAAGGCUUUGACGGGUAGCCGGCCUGAGAGGGUGACCGGCCACAUUGGGACUGAGAUAGGGCCCAGAAGCCUACGGGAGGCAGAAGUGGGGAAUAUUGCACAAUGGGCGGAAGCCUGAUGCAGCAACGCCGCGUGCGGGAUGACGGCCUUCGGGUUGUAAACCGAUUUCGCAUGUGACGAAGCGUGAGUGACGGUAAUGGGUAAAGAAGCACCGGCUAACUACGUG